CCCUUUCUCUUGCCCAAGUGUGUUGGUCGCUUGCUUCAACUUGGGAAUGGAGUGAUAUUGGAAGUUCAUGUAUGUUGGAGAGUCAGUGUCUUGUGAAGUGUAAGAGCAUAAAUUAUGAUUGGUGUGAGCUUUGUAAUCUCUAGAACAUGUAUAGAAAUAAAAGUUUAAUCAUGGGUUGGUCGCUCUGGCCUUUUGUGCCGAGCUGUGCAGGGGAAGACUGCGUGUAUUUUCUUUGCUGGAUUCUCCAUUCCUACAAAUGCCCUUUUCCUUGUAGCCAUCGGUGUGAGUGCUCUGUAAAGCAGCUCUCUUUAUUGGCCCCCCAGGGUUUCAGACUCAGACCAUGUGUUGGCUGCGUGAAUUGUGGCACGUGCAUGGGGCCCAAAUUCCAAUGAAGAAAAAGUCACUAAUGAGAGUCAUGAGUUGCACUAAGAUCUUUGAUUAUUUUUAUGCUUUGGAUGGACAGUUCAGAAAUCAGAAUGACUGCUACUUCGCUUGCUUCUCAAGGCUGCUUGGGCCGGAGCUUGUUCAACACGAUUCAUGAGCGACAAUCCACAGAUCUCAGGCAGUUUCUACAUGCACCCUUUGUACAGAACAAAGGGAAACUUUACAGUAUCAGCUUGGGGGUACUGAUUUGAUUGGGUUGGCAAUGGAUGCUUGCUUGUAGCUUUCUUUGCACGCAUUUUAAUGUGUCUUUAAUGCACUGUUGGAUCGACACUGUGACCAUUUUCCCCUCUUCUCUUCUCGUUCGAGAGACAGCCGACCGA
RNAcentral lists this long non-coding RNA (764 nucleotides) under Eucalyptus grandis. Its description in RNAcentral is "long non-coding RNA (EGRA_LNC007882)". The record is from RNAcentral. Lineage: Eukaryota; Viridiplantae; Streptophyta; Magnoliopsida; Myrtales; Myrtaceae.